GGGUGAGUAAUACUUAGGAAUCUACCUAGUAGUGGGGGAUAGCUCGGGGAAACUCGAAUUAAUACCGCAUACGACCUACGGGAGAAAGGGGGCAGUUUACUGCUCUCGCUAUUAGAUGAGCCUAAGUCGGAUUAGCUAGAUGGUGGGGUAAAGGCCUACCAUGGCGACGAUCUGUAGCUGGUCUGAGAGGAUGAUCAGCCACACCGGAACUGAGACACGGUCCGGACUCCUACGGGAGGCAGCAGUGGGGAAUAUUGGACAAUGGGGGCAACCCUGAUCCAGCCAUGCCGCGUGUGUGAAGAAGGCCUUUUGGUUGUAAAGCACUUUAAGCAGUGAAGAAGACUCCGUGGUUAAUACCCACGGACGAUGACAUUAGCUGCAGAAUAAGCACCGGCUAACUCUGUGCCAGCAGCCGCGGUAAUACAGAGGGUGCAAGCGUUAAUCGGAAUUACUGGGCGUAAAGCGAGCGUAGGUGGCUUGAUAAGUCAGAUGUGAAAUCCCCGGGCUUAACCUGGGAACUGCAUCUGAUACUGUUAGGCUAGAGUAGGUGAGAGGAAGGUAGAAUUCCAGGUGUAGCGGUGAAAUGCGUAGAGAUCUGGAGGAAUACCGAUGGCGAAGGCAGCCUUCUGGCAUCAUACUGACACUGAGGCUCGAAAGCGUGGGUAGCAAACAGGAUUAGAUACCCUGGUAGUCCACGCCGUAAACGAUGUCUACUAGUCGUUGGGUCCCUUGAGGACUUAGUGACGCAGCUAACGCAAUAAGUAGACCGCCUGGGGAGUACGGCCGCAAGGUUAAAACUCAAAUGAAUUGACGGGGGCCCGCACAAGCGGUGGAGCAUGUGGUUUAAUUCGAUGCAACGCGAAGAACCUUACCUGGUCUUGACAUAUCUAGAAUCCUGCAGAGAUGCGGGAGUGCCUUCGGGAAUUAGAAUACAGGUGCUGCAUGGCUGUCGUCAGCUCGUGUCGUGAGAA
RNAcentral lists this ribosomal RNA (971 nucleotides) under Psychrobacter sp. COL-65. Its description in RNAcentral is "bacterial SSU rRNA". It matches the Rfam family "Bacterial small subunit ribosomal RNA", at positions 104 to 1073 of the family's 1533-position model. The record is from RNAcentral. Lineage: Bacteria; Pseudomonadati; Pseudomonadota; Gammaproteobacteria; Moraxellales; Moraxellaceae.